GACGAACGCUGGCGGCGUGCCUAAUACAUGCAAGUAGAACGCUGAAGGAGGAGCUUGCUUCUCCGGAUGAGUUGCGAACGGGUGAGUAACGCGUAGGUAACCUGCCUGGUAGCGGGGGAUAACUAUUGGAAACGAUAGCUAAUACCGCAUAACAGUAGAUGUUGCAUGACAUUUGCUUAAAAGGUGCAAUUGCAUCACUACCAGAUGGACCUGCGUUGUAUUAGCUAGUUGGUAAGGUAACGGCUCACCAAGGCGACGAUACAUAGCCGACCUGAGAGGGGGAUCGGCCACACUGGGACUUAGACACGGCCCAGACUCCUACGGGAGGCAGCAGUAGGGAAUCUUCGGCAAUGGACGGAAGUCUGACCGAGCAACGCCGCGUGAGUGAAGAAGGUUUUCGGAUCGUAAAGCUCUGUUGUAAGAGAAGAACGAGUGUGAGAGUGGAAAGUUCACACUGUGACGGUAUCUUACCAGAAAGGGACGGCUAACUACGUG
RNAcentral lists this ribosomal RNA (495 nucleotides) under uncultured bacterium. Its description in RNAcentral is "partial 16S ribosomal RNA". It matches the Rfam family "Bacterial small subunit ribosomal RNA", at positions 28 to 507 of the family's 1533-position model. The record is from RNAcentral.